GUUUCAGCCGCCGCGGUAAUACGUAGGGAGCAAGCGUUGUCCGGAAUCAUUGGGCGUAAAGCGCGCGUAGGUGGCCCCGUAAGUCCGCUGUGAAAGUCAAAGGCUCAACCUUUGAAAGCCGGUGGAUACUGUGGGACUAGAGUACGGAAGAGGCGAGUGGAAUUCCUGGUGUAGCGGUGGAAUGCGCAGAUAUCAGGAGGAACACCAAUAGCGAAGGCAGCUCGCUGGGACGUUACUGACACUGAGGCGCGAAAGCGUGGGGAGCGAACAGGAUUAGAUACCCUGGUAGUCC
Molecule: ribosomal RNA, 292 nt
Filed under: uncultured bacterium
Lineage: Bacteria
Description: partial 16S ribosomal RNA
Rfam family: Bacterial small subunit ribosomal RNA
Source: RNAcentral